RNAcentral lists this ribosomal RNA (273 nucleotides) under uncultured bacterium. RNAcentral's name for it is "partial 16S ribosomal RNA". It matches the Rfam family "Bacterial small subunit ribosomal RNA", at positions 523 to 796 of the family's 1533-position model. The record is from RNAcentral.
CUACGUAGGUCGCAAGCGUUAUCCGGAAUUAUUGGGCGUAAAGCGAGUCUAGGCGGCUUGUUAAGUCAGAUGUGAAAAUGCGGGGCUCAACUCCGUAUUGCGUUUGAAACUGGCAGGCUAGAGUACUGGAGAGGUGGGCGGAACUACAAGUGUAGAGGUGAAAUUCGUAGAUAUUUGUAGGAAUGCCGAUAGUGAAGACAGCUCACUGGACAGAUACUGACGCUAAAGCUCGAAAGCGUGGGGAGCGAACAGGAUUAGAAACCCCAGUAGUCC